AUUGAGUUGGCAGAUUUAUGUGGUUGAUUUAGGCUCAACAGAAAAAGGUGAAAGUCCUUUACUUAAUA
Molecule: transfer RNA, 68 nt
Filed under: Stomatella planulata
Lineage: Eukaryota; Metazoa; Mollusca; Gastropoda; Trochida; Trochidae
Description: tRNA-Leu
Source: RNAcentral